RNAcentral lists this ribosomal RNA (495 nucleotides) under uncultured bacterium. Its description in RNAcentral is "partial 16S ribosomal RNA". It matches the Rfam family "Bacterial small subunit ribosomal RNA", at positions 30 to 523 of the family's 1533-position model. The record is from RNAcentral.
AUUGAACGCUGGCGGAAUGCUUUACACAUGCAAGUCGAACGGUAGAGGGGGCAACCCCUCGAGAGUGGCGAACGGGUGAGUAAUAUAUCGGAACGUGCCCAGUCGUGGGGGACAACGUAGCGAAAGUCACGCUAAUACCGCAUACGAUCUAAGGAGGAAAGCGGGGGAUCGCAAGACCUCGCGCGAUUUGAGCGGCUGAUAUCAGAUUAGGUAGUUGGUGGGUAACGGCUCACCAAGCCAACGAUCUGUAGCUGGUCUGAGAGGACGACCAGCCACAAUGGAACUGAGACACGGUCCAGACUCCUACGGGAGGCAGCAGUGGGGAAUUUUGGACAAUGGACGCAAGUCUGAUCCAGCCAUUCCGCGUGCAGGAUGAAGGCCCUCGGGUUGUAAACUGCUUUUGUACGGAACGAAAAGGUCUCUCUUAAUACGGGGGGCUCAUGACGGCACCGUAAGAAUAAGCACCGGCUAACUACGUGCCAGCCGCCGCCGUAA